AUUGAACGCUGGCGGCAGGCCUAACACAUGCAAGUCGAACGGCAGCACAGAAGAGCUUGCUCUUUGGGUGGCGAGUGGCGGACGGGUGAGUAAUGUCUGGGAAACUGCCCGAUGGAGGGGGAUAACUACUGGAAACGGUAGCUAAUACCGCAUAACGUCGCAAGACCAAAGUGGGGGACCUUCGGGCCUCACACCAUCGGAUGUGCCCAGAUGGGAUUAGCUAGUAGGUGGGGUAAUGGCUCACCUAGGCGACGAUCCCUAGCUGGUCUGAGAGGACGAGCAGCCACACUGGAACUGAGACACGGUCCAGACUCCUACGGGAGGCAGCAGUGGGGAAUACUGCACAAUGGGCGCAAGCCUGAUGCAGCCAUGCCGCAUGUAUGAAGAAGGCCUUCGGGUUGUAAAGUACUUUCAGCGGGGAGGAAGGCGGUGAGGUUAAUAACCUCGCCGAUUGACGUUACCCGCAGAAGAAGCACCGGCUAACUCCGUGCCAGCCGCCGCGGUAA
RNAcentral lists this ribosomal RNA (506 nucleotides) under uncultured bacterium. RNAcentral's name for it is "partial 16S ribosomal RNA". It matches the Rfam family "Bacterial small subunit ribosomal RNA", at positions 29 to 523 of the family's 1533-position model. The record is from RNAcentral.